RNAcentral lists this ribosomal RNA (962 nucleotides) under uncultured bacterium. RNAcentral's name for it is "bacterial SSU rRNA". It matches the Rfam family "Bacterial small subunit ribosomal RNA", at positions 542 to 1533 of the family's 1533-position model. The record is from RNAcentral.
UAGUCGGAUCACUGGGCUUAAGGGUGCGUAGGCGGGCCCGCAAGCGUCUUGUGAAAUCCCAUGGCUCAACCAUGGAAUCGCAGGGCGAACUGCGGGUCUUGAGGCAGGUAGGGGCCGGAAGAACAGUAGGUGGAGCGGUGAAAUGCGUAGAUAUCUACUGGAAUGCCGAUGGGGAAGCCGUCCGGCUGGGCCUGUCCUGACGCUGAGGCACGAAAGCGUGGGGAGCAAACAGGAUUAGAUACCCUGGUAGUCCACGCCGUAAACGAUGCGCACUGGACCGGUGCGGUUUUGACGCCGUAUCGGUCGUAGUAAAAACGUUAAGUGCGCCGCCUGGGGAGUACGGUCGCAAGGCUAAAACUCAAAUGAAUUGACGGGGGCUCACACAAGCGGUGGAGCAUGUUGCUUAAUUCGAGGCAACGCGAAGAACCUUACCUGGGUUUGACAUGGCUGGAUUAACUCCUGGAAACAGGAGCCACACCCUCUGGGUGGAACAGUCACAGGUGCUGCAUGGCUGUCGUCAGCUCGUGCUGUGAAGCGUCGGGUUAAGUCCUAUAACGAGCGCAACCCCUGUCGUUAGUUGCUCGGCGAAAGCCAGUACUCUAGCGAGACUGCCGUCGUCAAGACGGAGGAAGGUGGGGAUGACGUCAAGUCCUCAUGGCCCUUACAUCCAGGGUUGCAAACGUGCUACAAUGGUGCGCACAAAGCGACGCAAGCCGCGAGGCAGAGCAAAUCGCAAAAAACGCACCCCAGUUCGGAUUGCAGCUGCAACUCGCCUGCAUGAAGUCGGAAUCGCUAGUAAUCGGAGAUCAGCUACGCUCCGGUGAAUGUGUUCCUGAGCCUUGUACACACCGCCCGUCACGUCAUGGAGCCGGGAGUGCUCGAAGUCGCACAGUUCAGUGUGCUACGCAGAUCGUGACUGGGACGAGUCGUACAGUACCGUAUCACUAGUGCGCGCUGCAGUC